UGGGGAAUAAGCAGCACCUGGCCCCCUCACAUGUGCUAGGCCAGGGAACUUGAUACCUGGAAGUGUCCUGUGCUGACACACACCUUGUUUUCCCCCAUGCAGAUGGGACCCACACCUCUGUAGGCUUGGUCCUCCUGGUGGUGACCUGUCUGGUGUUCCUCUUUAUGCUCAUUCUAGGUUUAAUCUUCUGGAUUAGGAAACGCAGCUCCUAUGAAGACUUCCUGUGAGUCUCCUGGCCACCUGCCUCUCUGGAGGCUGAGCAUCAAGCUCCCAGGACUGUAGUCUUCCCCUGCUCAGGAACUGAGUGUGAAGUGAGUGUGGUCUUGGAGAAGUAACAAAAAUAAUCACCUCCUCUUUUAACAUUUAUCUAAAAGAGUUUAAGUUCUUUUUCCUUCUGUUACAAGUGAUUCUGUACAAACAGCAGUGCAAACUCCCGUGUUUACCUGCAGGCAAUGCGGAGAUACAGGGACUAGGGUGGAAGUGCAUGUGUUGGCCUCUGAGUGAUGGAAUCUGUCUUGAGCUGGGAAGCUCAUAUCCUGUGCCAAGGUGGCAGCUGCGGUGGCCUGUUGUCAAGUACAAAGUCAAACUCUAGCUUGGCUGUAAUCUGCAUUUCCCAAGAAGACUGGAAAUCUGGAAUUUUAUGUGACAUGUCUGAUUUUAAAACGUCAGCAUGAUUUUGCAGAAUAUUCUGUGUGACAUCCCAAAUGAACACUGCUGACUAA
Molecule: non-coding RNA, 722 nt
Organism: Marmota flaviventris (yellow-bellied marmot)
Lineage: Eukaryota; Metazoa; Chordata; Mammalia; Rodentia; Sciuridae
Source: RefSeq, a predicted model, not a curated record